AUUGCAAGUCGAACGAGGCGGCCCACAGAAUUUUGAUAGAAGCUUUGGAGAGCUUUGCUCGAAGAGUGGAAAGAGAAGGACGUGGAACUCCCGCCUAGUGGCAAACGGGUGAGUAACACGUGGGUUACCUACCUCUUAGAUGGGGAUACCAAUUGGAAACGAUUGUUAAUACCGAAUGUGAUCUACGGAUUAAAGGGAGCCUUUAAAGCUUCGCUAAGAGAUGGGCCUGCGGUGCAUUAGAUAGUUGGUGGGGUAAGAGCCUACCAAGUCAACGAUGCAUAGCUGAACUGAGAGGUUGAUCGGCCACACUGGGACUGAGACACGGCCCAGACUCCUACGGGAGACAGCAGUUAGGAAUAUUCGUCAAUGGGGGGAACCCUGAACGAGCAAUGCCGCGUGAACGAAGACGGUCCUCUGGAUUGUAAAGUUCUGUUGUUUGGGAAGAACGGCUCUAAUAGGAAAUGAUUAGAGAUUGACUGUACCAUUCAAGAAAGCCACGGCUAACUACGUGCCAGCAGCCGCGGUAAUACGUAGGUGGCGAGCGUUAUCCGGAUUUAUUGGGCGUAAAGCGUCCGCAGCCGGUUUAUUAAGUAUAGAAUUAAACUUCGGGGCUCAACCCCGUCUCGUUCUAUAAACUGAUAGACUAGAGUGUGGUAGAGGCAAGUGGAAUUUCUAGUGUAGCGGUAGAAUGCGUAGAUAUUAGAAGGAACACCAGUGGCGAAGGCGACUUGCUGGGCCAUCACUGACGGUCAGGGACGAAAGCGUGGGGAGCGAAUAGGAUUAGAUACCCUAGUAGUCCACGCCGUAAACGAUGAUCACUAAGUGUCGGGCAACCGGUGCUG
This 842-nucleotide ribosomal RNA is filed under the name uncultured Bacillota bacterium. Its description in RNAcentral is "bacterial SSU rRNA". It matches the Rfam family "Bacterial small subunit ribosomal RNA", at positions 54 to 848 of the family's 1533-position model. The record is from RNAcentral. Lineage: Bacteria; Bacillati; Bacillota.